Molecule: ribosomal RNA, 253 nt
Filed under: uncultured bacterium
Lineage: Bacteria
Description: partial 16S ribosomal RNA
Rfam family: Bacterial small subunit ribosomal RNA
Source: RNAcentral
UACGAAGGGGGCUAGCGUUGCUCGGAAUCACUGGGCGUAAAGCGCACGUAGGCGGCUUUCUAAGUCAGGGGUGAAAUCCUGGAGCUCAACUCCAGAACUGCCUUUGAUACUGGAAAGCUUGAGUUCGGGAGAGGUGAGUGGAACUGCGAGUGUAGAGGUGAAAUUCGUAGAUAUUCGCAAGAACACCAGUGGCGAAGGCGGCUCACUGGGGGUCUUCUGACGCUGAGGAACGAAAGCCAGGGGAGCGAACGGG